Cyprinus carpio carpio is the source of this 1032-nucleotide long non-coding RNA. The record is from Ensembl. Lineage: Eukaryota; Metazoa; Chordata; Actinopteri; Cypriniformes; Cyprinidae.
UAGUGUUGUUCAGGAUUCAUGAACAGAACAUCAGUGUAUUUCUAAUAAAAUCUAAGAGAACAAUAAGAAUAAACAAAGAUCAUGUAUGUUUGCUGGAGAAAAUCUGCACAUUGUGGCAAGCAGCAGAUUAACAUCUGGCUCUAACAUCUGAGAGAAAGUGAGGGAGAGAGAGAGAGAGUGAGUGAGAGAGAGAGAGAGAGAGAGAGAGUGAGUGAGUGAGUGAGGGAGAGAGUGAGUGAGUGAGGGAGAGAGAGAGAGAGAGAGAGUGAGGGAGAGAGAGUGAGUGAGGGAGAGAGAGAGAGAGAGUGAGUGAGGGAGAGAGAGAGAGUGAGUGAGUGAGGGAGAGAGAGAGUGAGUGAGGGAGAGAGAGAGACAGAGAGAGAGAGUGAGUGAGGGAGAGAGAGAGAGUGAGUGAGGGAGAGAGACAGAGAGAGAGAGAGUGAGUGAGUGAGGGAGAGAGAGUGAGUGAGGGAGAGAGAGAGAGUGAGUGAGGGAGAGAGACAGAGAGAGAGAGAGUGAGUGAGUGAGGGAGAGAGAGUGAGUGAGGGAGAGAGAGAGAGUGAAGGUAAAUGUGAAUAUGCAGUACAGCACCAGCAGCAUCCCCAAAGAUCCCCAAAUUUACUUUUAAAUUCAUCUACAUUAAGAUCUAAUAUCCAUAAGAAAUUUCUAACACAAAUAAACACUCUCCGAUUAUGGAAAUAAAUGUUGUCUUACAAAUAAGAUUUUUUUCGGAGCCCAAACAAGUCAUCUUAAACAAACCGUAGACGCCUUGGCUUUGCGUUGUAACUCGCAAUGAUUUCAUCAUAAUCCAGACUCAGUAAUCUCACACUCGUGAGAGAGAACGACGAGGUGCUUUAGGCGAGAAGUUGCCAUUGAUGACCGAAUUGAGUCGGCUUUGCAGUCCUUUUGUGGCAAAGACACUGCACUCAAAAAGUUUCCCAAAUGUGACUAACAAAAAAACAAACCUCUUCGUUUGGAUCUGUUGUAGAAGACCGUGUGAUGGCUGUGGCUACUUCCAGUGCAUUCAGCAAG